UACAGAGGGGGCGAGCGUUGUUCGGAAUUACUGGGCGUAAAGGGCGCGUAGGCGGCCUUCUAAGUCGAACGUGAAAUCCCCGGGCUCAACCCGGGAACUGCGUCCGAUACUGGGAGGCUUGAAUCCGGGAGAGGGAUGUGGAAUUCCAGGUGUAGCGGUGAAAUGCGUAGAUAUCAGGAGGAACACCGGUGGCGAAGGCGGCUUUCUGGACAGAUACCGACGCUGAGGCACGAAAGCUAGGGGAGCAAACAGG
RNAcentral lists this ribosomal RNA (253 nucleotides) under uncultured bacterium. RNAcentral describes it as "partial 16S ribosomal RNA". It matches the Rfam family "Bacterial small subunit ribosomal RNA", at positions 524 to 776 of the family's 1533-position model. The record is from RNAcentral.